Molecule: long non-coding RNA, 712 nt
Organism: Halichondria panicea
Lineage: Eukaryota; Metazoa; Porifera; Demospongiae; Suberitida; Halichondriidae
Exons: 2
Source: RefSeq, a predicted model, not a curated record
GAGUCCCUAGCCUCGAUCCCAGGCCGAGUUUUCGCUUUUAUAACGGUUAGGCGAACAACUGGGCCUGGUACUAGUUGUCUGCGCAUGCGUCAAUCGUUCGUCAGAUUCUGACGAAUGGAUAUUCUUGUUCACUUUCGUGACAUUUAUAUUCGUGUACUAUCGUGUACUAGAAGUCAGUUCCCGUUUUAUCAUUAUUGGAAUCGAUUGGAAUGGCUCUUAGCUGAAGCUUCUCUCUUCUCUGAAGCUUAUUCUGAAGACUGAACAACAAGGGAAGAGGUAUAAAGCUUUGUCAAGCUUGUUAAGGUCAGAUAUUUUUGUGUGGGCCCUAUGGCCGGCUAUGCUAUCAAGUCUUGUUCAUGUUUGGCAAGAAUGUAGGUAGACUAUAGUUUCAUCAUUAAUAUGGUGGAUCAAGUGAAGAGUGUGAGCUAGAGAACUUGGUGCUGCCAUCAUCAGCUCGUCGACAAUGACACUAUAACCGAGAAAUUUAAUAUGUAUAGAUCUACACGUAUUUAAAAUGUCUACUUCUCUGUACAGGAGCAAUGGCUAAUAUCCAGCUAUCCCAACAGUGCUCCUCUUGGCUAUACUAACGGACGAGACUGGACAGUUUGAGACACAGGACUGGAGUAUGACCUGCUCAUUCGAGCGUUGCUGGGUAGCUCAGAGACAUCAAGAGAAUCUACGUUUUCUCAAGCAAUGAGUUACGAGUUGGGGC